RNAcentral lists this ribosomal RNA (254 nucleotides) under uncultured bacterium. RNAcentral's name for it is "partial 16S ribosomal RNA". It matches the Rfam family "Bacterial small subunit ribosomal RNA", at positions 524 to 776 of the family's 1533-position model. The record is from RNAcentral.
UACGUAGGGGGCGAGCGUUGUCCGGAUUUAUUGGGCGUAAAAGGCUUGUAGGUGGCCACGUCAAGUCGGAUGUGAAAUCUCCCGGCUCAACUGGGAGGGGUCAUUCGAUACUGGCGGUCUCGAGUCCGGGAGAGGUGAGUGGAACUGCGAGUGUAGAGGUGAAAUGCGUAGAUAUUUGGAGGAACACCAGUGGCGAAAGCGGCUUUCUGGGACAUUCCUGACACUGAGGUUCGAAAGCUGGGGGAGCAAACGGG